Molecule: ribosomal RNA, 1171 nt
Filed under: Burkholderia ubonensis
Lineage: Bacteria; Pseudomonadati; Pseudomonadota; Betaproteobacteria; Burkholderiales; Burkholderiaceae
Description: bacterial LSU rRNA
Rfam family: Bacterial large subunit ribosomal RNA
Source: RNAcentral
GUUAUAGGGUCAAGCGAACAAGUGCAUGUGGUGGAUGCCUUGGCGAUCACAGGCGAUGAAGGACGCGGUAGCCUGCGAAAAGCUACGGGGAGCUGGCAAACAAGCUUUGAUCCGUAGAUGUCCGAAUGGGGAAACCCACUCCGUAUGGAGUAUCCAUGGCUGAAUACAUAGGCCAUGCGAAGCGAACGCGGUGAACUGAAACAUCUAAGUAACCGCAGGAAAAGAAAUCAACCGAGAUUCCCAAAGUAGUGGCGAGCGAAAUGGGAUGAGCCUUGUACUCUUUAUUUGUAUUGUUAGCCGAACGCUCUGGAAAGUGCGGCCAUAGCAGGUGAUAGCCCUGUAGGCGAAAACAGUAUGAAAGAACUAGGUGUACGACAAGUAGGGCGGGACACGUGAAAUCCUGUCUGAAGAUGGGGGGACCAUCCUCCAAGGCUAAAUACUCGUGAUCGACCGAUAGUGAACCAGUACCGUGAGGGAAAGGCGAAAAGAACCCCGGGAGGGGAGUGAAAUAGAUCCUGAAACCGCAUGCAUACAAACAGUCGGAGCCUCGUAAGGGGUGACGGCGUACCUUUUGUAUAAUGGGUCAGCGACUUACGUUCAGUAGCAAGCUUAACCGUAUAGGGCAGGCGUAGCGAAAGCGAGUCCGAAUAGGGCGUUCAGUUGCUGGGCGUAGACCCGAAACCAGGUGAUCUAUCCAUGGCCAGGAUGAAGGUGCGGUAACACGUACUGGAGGUCCGAACCCACUAACGUUGAAAAGUUAGGGGAUGAGCUGUGGAUAGGGGUGAAAGGCUAAACAAACCUGGAAAUAGCUGGUUCUCUCCGAAAACUAUUUAGGUAGUGCCUCGUGUCUCACCUUCGGGGGUAGAGCACUGUCAUGGUUGGGGGGUCUAUUGCAGAUUACCCCGCCAUAGCAAACUCCGAAUACCGAAGAGUGCAAUCACGGGAGACAGACAUCGGGUGCUAACGUCCGGUGUCAAGAGGGAAACAACCCAGACCGCCAGCUAAGGUCCCCAAAUAUGGCUAAGUGGGAAACGAAGUGGGAAGGCUAAAACAGUCAGGAGGUUGGCUUAGAAGCAGCCACCCUUUAAAGAAAGCGUAAUAGCUCACUGAUCGAGUCGUCCUGCGCGGAAGAUGUAACGGGGCUAAGCCAUAUACCGAAGCUGCGGAUGCG